This 253-nucleotide ribosomal RNA is filed under the name uncultured bacterium. RNAcentral describes it as "partial 16S ribosomal RNA". It matches the Rfam family "Bacterial small subunit ribosomal RNA", at positions 524 to 776 of the family's 1533-position model. The record is from RNAcentral.
UACGUAGGUGGCAAGCGUUGUCCGGAAUUAUUGGGCGUAAAGCGCGCGCAGGCGGUUCCUUAAGUCUGUUGUGAAAUCCCUCGGCUCAACCCUGGAGCUGCCUUGGAAACUGGGGGACUUGAGUGCAGAAGAGGAGAGCGGAAUUCCACGUGUAGCGGUGAAAUGCGUAGAGAUGUGGAGGAACACCAGUGGCGAAGGCGGCUCUCUGGUCUGUAACUGACGCUGAGGCGCGAAAGCGUGGGGAGCAAACAGG